CUCGGCCGCCUCGUCUCCUCCGCCUCCACCACCUCCUCCUCCCGCAUCUCCUCAUCCCAUCUUGCUGCCGCCGGCUCCCCUCCUCUCCCCCUAAUUUCCCCCUUCAGCUCGUCCGUCUCAUCUCCCUUGCUGCUGCGCUGCCUCUUCCUCUGCCUCCGUGCUCAACAGGAGGAGCCUGGGUCGCAGUUGCACCACACGACAGUGGGCAAGGGCAAGCUCUAGCGCGAGCAUGCGGAGAGCUAUCCACUGGAUCCGGCCGGCCCAGAUCCACACGGCUCCGUCAACAACACGCCCGGGGACCCUGCCGACGUGGGUGUGCCGGCAUCUUCUCCAUGAGGGGGGCGAAUUAGGACGGAUCCACGCUGUCGACGCCUCUUCUUUGCUCCCAUGGACGAGCCCUCGCCCAGCGACCACCUCCACUCAGCUGUUGGGGAGGCUAAAAUGGGAAGGGUGGCAGGAGAAAUCCCUCCUCCUUGUGUUGCUGCAUCACUGCAUCCCCCGAUAUUCCAGGAGUAGCUCGCCUGCCUGCUUUGAGAAGAAGAGAUGGAAGGUGGAGGUGGGAACAUGACGCUAGGAGGAUAAGGCGUGGGCGUCACAAGAAGUGGGUUGGAGCAGGAAGUAGAGCAUGCAAUGCCCCUCUCUACAUUGGCAUCUACACAGCCAAAUCAAGGACUUAAAUUCCUGGAGUAGCUCGCCUGCCUGCUUUGAGAAGAACAGAUGGAAGGUGGAGGUGGGAACAUGACGCUAGGAGGAUAAAGCGUGGGCGUCACAAGAAGUGGGUUGGAGCAGGAAGUAGAGCAGGCAAUGCCCCUCUCUACAUUGGCAUCUACACAGCCAAAUCAAGGACUUAAAUUCCUGGAACGGCUCCUCCUAUCCCCUGCUCCUCUCGCAUUGGCGCAAGUCCGCCUCCUCCUCCGCCUCCUUCUCCACGCGUGCAGCAGCGACCCGGGAGGAGCUCGAGCCGCAGCGGUGGUCCAUGGCGCCUUCGUUGUCAUCCCCGGCUAGAGAAGCAUGGACCGCAGAGACGGACGGAUCUGUCCGGCCCUCGCGCCGUCAUUCGUCAACUCUCAAGGAUAAUGAGUUUCUACGAGUUGGAGACCCCCCAACAGCAAAUUCAGUCCGACGUCUUUGAUGAAAAUAGUGGUUUGAGCCAUAGUUCCAAGAAUGGAGCUGGACAGUCUUUUUGAGGAAAAAAAUUGAUGUCGCAAAGGCCAGGAACAAAAUCAAUACAUUAGUAUAUGACUUCAGAGAGAUGCUGAUACUAUGAGGUGAAAUGCUCAUUUACUUAAGAGAAACGUUCACAAGGAUGACUGACCGUGUGCGACACUGACCUCGAUGGCGUGCCACAUCAUUUUUGCCCGACCUCAAUGUUCACCUCGUCACCCACAGCCAGAUGGUCGAAGACAUCCCCAUG
Long non-coding RNA from Triticum dicoccoides, 1414 nucleotides. RefSeq lists it as uncharacterized. The transcript is spliced from 8 exons. The record is from RefSeq and is a predicted model, not a curated record. NCBI's taxonomy places the organism in Eukaryota, Viridiplantae, Streptophyta, Magnoliopsida, Poales, Poaceae.